CUGUUCAAUGAAUUAAAUAUUUAAAUAAUUGCAGUAUUUUAACUGUGCAAAGGUAGCAUAAUCAUUUGUUUUUUAAUUGAGAACUAGAAUGAAGGAUUGAAUGAGAAACUAACUUUUUUAAAUUUAAUAAAUAAUAAAAUUUUUUUAUAAAGUAAAAAAACUUUAAUAAGUAUAAAAGACGAUAAGACCCUAUAAAAUUUUAUAUUUAUUAAUAAAUUAUAUUUAAAUUUAAUUGUAUAUUUGUAAGUAAAUAUUUAAUUGGGGUGAUUUUAAAAUUUUAAAAACUUUUAAAUUUAACUAAAAAUUAUAUAUAAUUUUUAAUAAUACAGAUUUUUAAAAAUAAUUAAAUUACUUUAGGGAUAACAGCAUAAUUUUUUUUUUUAGUUCAAAUUAAUAAAUAAGAUUAUGACCUCGAUGUUGAAUUAAAAUAAAUAAUUUAUAGAAGAAAAUAAUUUAUUUAGUCUGUUCGACUA
This 473-nucleotide ribosomal RNA is filed under the name Ceratobaeus sp. M145. RNAcentral describes it as "partial 16S ribosomal RNA". The record is from RNAcentral. Lineage: Eukaryota; Metazoa; Arthropoda; Insecta; Hymenoptera; Scelionidae.